RNAcentral lists this ribosomal RNA (240 nucleotides) under uncultured Parabacteroides sp. RNAcentral's name for it is "partial 16S ribosomal RNA". It matches the Rfam family "Bacterial small subunit ribosomal RNA", at positions 99 to 339 of the family's 1533-position model. Lineage: Bacteria; Pseudomonadati; Bacteroidota; Bacteroidia; Bacteroidales; Tannerellaceae. The record is from RNAcentral.
CGCACGGGUGAGUAACGCGUAUGCAACCUACCUAUCAGAGGGGAAUAACCCGGCGAAAGUCGGACUAAUACCGCAUAAAACAGGGGCACCGCAUGGUGAUAUUUGUUAAAGAAAUUCGCUGAUAGAUGGGCAUGCGUUCCAUUAGGUAGUUGGUGAGGUAACGGCUCACCAAGCCGACGAUGGAUAGGGGAACUGAGAGGUUGGUCCCCCACACUGGUACUGAGACACGGACCAGACUCC